UGCCAGCAGCCGCGGUAACACGGGGGGCGCAAGCGUUAUUCGGAAUUAUUGGGCGUAAAGAGCUCGUAGGCGGUUCGGUAAGUCGGGCGUGAAAAUCCAGGGCUCAACCCUGGGACGCCACCCGAUACUGCUGUGACUAGAGUCCGGUAGAGGAGCGUGGAAUUCCUGGUGUAGCGGUGAAAUGCGCAGAUAUCAGGAGGAACACCAGCGGCGAAGGCGGCGCUCUGGGCCGGUACUGACGCUGAGGAGCGAAGACGUGGGGAGCAAACAGGAUUAGAUA
RNAcentral lists this ribosomal RNA (280 nucleotides) under uncultured bacterium. RNAcentral describes it as "partial 16S ribosomal RNA". It matches the Rfam family "Bacterial small subunit ribosomal RNA", at positions 506 to 784 of the family's 1533-position model. The record is from RNAcentral.